This 1131-nucleotide long non-coding RNA is filed under the name Gallus gallus (chicken). RNAcentral describes it as "lncRNA (ENSGALG00010001926.1)". The record is from RNAcentral. Lineage: Eukaryota; Metazoa; Chordata; Aves; Galliformes; Phasianidae.
ACAACAUCAUAGUUUUAUUAAUGCAGUUGAAAACAGCGAAUAAGCUACAAAGUUCAGUGAUACAGAUCCCCGUGUCUCCAAGCCAGCAAUUGCACAGAUUUACAUCUUAAUUGAUAUUUUAUUCUGAAAGGAAAAUCGAAGCCCUCAGCUACCUAAGUCCUUACAAUUAAUCAGGCGCAGAAUAAUCUAUAAAGAUUACCAGUACCACCAUCCCAGUAGCAUUGAAAAAAACACCCCACCCAACCCUAAACAAACAAACAAAAAAAAAAACAAAAAACCCAAAGGCAGAAGCAGCUCUUCAAAAUCUGUAAGCUAUCAGGGGAACAUUGUCUAACAACACUUCACAAUCCACAGGGCAGUACAUGCAUUUGCAUUGAGUAAUAACUCAUCAGAAUUGUUAGGUGUGGCAUGGAUUUGAGCACAUAUGGUAUCCCUAAUUUCCCUUGCCUGCUUGAACCUUAAUUCUGUAGUACCAUUGAAGCAGCACUGGUUAAGGGAUCCAUCAGUAUGUAGGCUCUGCUUUAAACAAAAAUACUAGCCUCUGGUUUUCCAGUUGCAGACCAUGACACAACAAGUCAUGGAUGUAUCCACAUGCUUUUGCAAGCUUGACAUCCAGGUGAUUUUCAGGCUAGUGCUAUUUUACGUUUGUGUCCCACACACACAGGCCAACCCUACUCUGAAUCUCCCAAACAAACUGGAACUGCAAAGUCAAAUUGCUGAGGGCCUCUUUCAUUAGCAGAAUGAAUUUCUUCAGCCAUGUACCACGGCUCUGGAAGGCUGGAGGACUUCCCUUACAGCCAUGACAUCCUUCAGACAUUGUGGAGCCAUUGCUGGUCAUCCCAUUGUCAGCAGGACUGUAUAAUCCCACCUACCAUGCUGUCUGUGUCUUGCUUAGCUGCUCCUUAAGUGUUGACGGAUGAGAAAGCAGUCACAGCAUUCAUCUGCUUUGCUAGAUUUAUGAUACAUGCCGUGUUCAGUCUCCAUACUCAAUGCCUUCACAUAAUUAGGAAUGGUCUCUCUGAUCUAGUGUCCCAAACCACAACUGCCAGCAAACACAUGUGUGGGAGCAAGGGGGUUUGUGCCUGUCUCAAGUUUGGCAUCCACAUGUACAAAUGCAUGGACACUUAGAAU